AUACCUUUCUCGGCCUUUUGGCUAAGAUCAAGUGUAAGUCAGUUUAAUAUCUAAUAUGUGAGACCUCACCCACACAAUGGUAUUAAAUUUAUUUUUUAGGAAGAGCCUGUUAUCUGGGCUUUUGUGUGUCGUCCUAGCAUUACACUAUUGCUUAGGCUUGGCGUACCCCAA
RNAcentral lists this small nuclear RNA (171 nucleotides) under Setaria italica (foxtail millet). RNAcentral's name for it is "snRNA U2". It matches the Rfam family "U2 spliceosomal RNA". From Rfam's summary of the family: U2 is a small nuclear RNA (snRNA) component of the spliceosome (involved in pre-mRNA splicing). Complementary binding between U2 snRNA (in an area lying towards the 5' end but 3' to hairpin I) and the branchpoint sequence (BPS) of the intron results the bulging out of an unpaired adenosine, on the BPS, which initiates a nucleophilic attack at the intronic 5' splice site, thus starting the first of two transesterification reactions that mediate splicing. Lineage: Eukaryota; Viridiplantae; Streptophyta; Magnoliopsida; Poales; Poaceae. The record is from Rfam by way of RNAcentral.